RNAcentral lists this ribosomal RNA (460 nucleotides) under uncultured bacterium. RNAcentral describes it as "partial 16S ribosomal RNA". It matches the Rfam family "Bacterial small subunit ribosomal RNA", at positions 338 to 795 of the family's 1533-position model. The record is from RNAcentral.
CCUACGGGACGCAGCAGUGAGGAAUAUUGGUCAAUGGGCGCGAGCCUGAACCAGCCAAGUAGCGUGAAGGAUGACUGCCCUACGGGUUGUAAACUUCUUUUAUAAAGGAAUAAAGUGAGGCACGUGUGCCUUUUUGUAUGUACUUUAUGAAUAAGGAUUGGCUAACUCCGUGCCAGCAGCCGCGGUAAUACGGAGGAUCCGAGCGUUAUCCGGAUUUAUUGGGUUUAACGGGAGCGUAGAUGGGUUGUUAAGUCAGUUGUGAAAGUUUGCGGCUCAACCGUAAAAUUGCAAUUGAUACUGGCAGUCUUGAGUACAGUUGAGGUAGGCGGAAUUCGUGGUGUAGCGGUGAAAUGCUUAGAUAUCACGAAGAACUCCGAUUGCGAAGGCAGCUUACUAAACUGCCACUGACAUUGAUGCUCGAAAGUGUGGGGAGCAAACAGGAGUAGAUACCCCUGUAGUC